UCCCCACCCCACCCCACCCCACCCCCACCCGCCAAGCCCAAGUGUGUGCUCCUUGCCCACCCUCGGUUUCUGGUGUCUGCGGGUGGGUGUUUAGAUAGCGCCAUCCGUUGCGUCGUUUAGAGUCCACCAACAGGUGAUGUCCUAGGGCACUUGUCUUUUUCCUUUCUGGCUUCCUUCGCUUAGCCUGAGGGUCUCUCGUUCCAGCCCCGCGGCGGCAGAUGGCACUCGUUCUGCCGCUUUUUCCUGGCUGUGUGCGAUGCCAUCGCAUAGAUGUCCCCGGGUCUGCGAAGUGCACUCACCUGUCAGUGGACCUUUAGGUGGCUUCCAGAUCUUGGCUCUGCCCCGCGGCGGCAGAUGGCACUCGUUCUGCCG
This 372-nucleotide long non-coding RNA is filed under the name Sus scrofa (pig). Its description in RNAcentral is "lncRNA (ENSSSCG00070006311.1)". The record is from RNAcentral. Lineage: Eukaryota; Metazoa; Chordata; Mammalia; Artiodactyla; Suidae.